Molecule: ribosomal RNA, 180 nt
Filed under: uncultured bacterium
Lineage: Bacteria
Description: partial 16S ribosomal RNA
Rfam family: Bacterial small subunit ribosomal RNA
Source: RNAcentral
AUAAGCGCACAGGGCCGCAUGGCCGGUGUGAAAAACUCCGGUGGUGUAAGAUGGACCCGCGUCUGAUUAGCUUGUUGGCGGGGUAGGGGCCCACCAAGGCGACGAUCAGUAGCCGGCCUGAGAGGGUGGACGGCCACAUUGGGACUGAGACACGGCCCAAACUCCUACGGGAGGCAGCAG